AAAAACUUAAGCAUAUCAAUAAGCGGAGGAAAAGAAACUAACMAGGAUUCCCCUAGUAACUGCGAGUGAAGCGGGAAAAGCUCAAAUUUAAAAUCUGGCGGUCUUUGGCCGUCCGAGUUGUAAUCUGGAGAAGUGCUUUCCGCUCUGGACCGUGUACAAGUCUCUUGGAAUAGAGCGUCAUAGAGGGUGAGAAUCCCGUCUUUGACACGGACUACCAGUGCUUUGUGAUGUGCUUUCAAAGAGUCGAGUUGUUUGGGAAUGCAGCUCAAAAUGGGUGGUAAAUUCCAUCUAAAGCUAAAUAUUGGCGAGAGACCGAUAGCGAACAAGUACCGUGAGGGAAAGAUGAAAAGCACUUUGGAAAGAGAGUUAAACAGUACGUGAAAUUGCUGAAAGGGAAACACUUGAAGUCAGUCGCGUUGUUCAGAACUCAGCCUGGCCUUGGCUUGGUGCAUUUUCUGAAUGACGGGCCAGCAUCAAUUUUGACCGUUGGAUAAAGGCCAGAGAAAUGUGGCUCCUUUGGGAGUGUUAUAGUCUUUGGUUGCAUGCAAUGGUUGGGAUUGAGGAACUCAGCAUGCCUUUAUGGUCGGGGUUCGCCCACGUUCAUGCUUAGGAUGCUGGCGUAAUGGCUUUAAAUGACCCGUCUUGAAACACGGACCAAGGAGUCUAACAUGCCUGCGAGUGUUUGGGUGGAAAACCCGAGCGCGCAAUGAAAGUGAAAGUUGGGAUCUCUGUCGUGGGGAGCACCGACGCCCGGACCAGACCUUCUGUGACGGAUCCGCGGUAGAGCUUGUAUGUUGGGACCCGAAAGAUGGUGAACUAUGCCUGAAUAGGGUGAAGCCAGAGGAAACUCUGGUGGAGGCUCGUAGCGAUUCUGACGUGCAAAUCGAUCGUCAAAUUUGGGUAUAGGGGCGAAAGACUAAUCGACCCUCUCG
RNAcentral lists this ribosomal RNA (932 nucleotides) under Physisporinus sp. CGW-2022j. RNAcentral's name for it is "partial large subunit ribosomal RNA". Lineage: Eukaryota; Fungi; Basidiomycota; Agaricomycetes; Polyporales; Meripilaceae. The record is from RNAcentral.